Molecule: transfer RNA, 69 nt
Filed under: Sarcocheilichthys kiangsiensis
Lineage: Eukaryota; Metazoa; Chordata; Actinopteri; Cypriniformes; Gobionidae
Description: tRNA-Thr
Rfam family: tRNA
About the family: Transfer RNA (tRNA) molecules are approximately 80 nucleotides in length. Their secondary structure includes four short double-helical elements and three loops (D, anti-codon, and T loops).
Source: RNAcentral
GCCCUAGUAGCUAGCCUAAAAGCAUCGGUCUGUAAUCCGAAGAUCGGAGGUAAAUUCCUCCCUAGCGCC